GAUGAACGCUAGCUACAGGCUUAACACAUGCAAGUCGUGGGACCGGCGCACGGGUGAGUAACGCGUACCGAACCUGCCCAUCACACAGGGAUAGGCUUGCGAAAGCAAGAUUAAUACCUGAUGGUGAUGGAUGGCGGUGCGUCCCAUUGGAAGUUGGCGGGGUAACGGCCCACCAAUCCUUCGAUGGGUAGGGGUUCUGAGAGGAAGGUCCCCCACAUUGGAACUGAGAUACGGUCCAAACUCCUACGGGAGGCAGCAGUGAGGAAUUUGGUCAAUGGGCGGGAGCCUGAACCAGCCAAGUAGCGUGCGGGAUGAAGGCCUUGUGGUCGUAAACCGCUUUUAUCAGUGAAUAGGUAGCUGAAGAAAAAGGACCGGCUAAUUCCGUGCCAGCAGCCGCGGUAAUUC
RNAcentral lists this ribosomal RNA (405 nucleotides) under uncultured bacterium. RNAcentral describes it as "partial 16S ribosomal RNA". It matches the Rfam family "Bacterial small subunit ribosomal RNA", at positions 28 to 526 of the family's 1533-position model. The record is from RNAcentral.